UUCAAUUCAAGCUUUUGUAAAAUAAAUUUAACAGAGGAAUACCAUGUCAUAGUGUUAUUUUCAUGCAUAUCUUUGUUACAUAAAAACGCUUCUUUCAAUAAAUUUGAGUUACAAUGAUGUAAUCUAUGCAGAUAGCUUAACAUAGAUAUAACAAUAUUAAAAUAUAUAGGAAAUCUACCUAAUUCUGAUUGUACAGCAACAUUUGUACUUUUAUUAUUUAAGCCUAAAAUAUGCUUACAGAACUUUAAGUUCAUUUUAUCAGCAACAUUAUUCUGG
RNAcentral lists this long non-coding RNA (276 nucleotides) under Mytilus galloprovincialis (Mediterranean mussel). Lineage: Eukaryota; Metazoa; Mollusca; Bivalvia; Mytilida; Mytilidae. The record is from RNAcentral.